RNAcentral lists this ribosomal RNA (376 nucleotides) under Montivipera albizona. RNAcentral describes it as "partial 12S ribosomal RNA". The record is from RNAcentral. Lineage: Eukaryota; Metazoa; Chordata; Lepidosauria; Squamata; Viperidae.
UUGUUCGCCAAACAACUACGAGUAGUAACUUAAAACUUAAAAGACUUGACGGUACUUCAUCACAACCUAGAGGAGCCUGUCCAAUAACCGAUAACCCACGAUUAACCCAACCCCUUCUCGCCAACAGUCUAUAUACCACCGUCGCAAGCUUACCCUGUAAAAGAAACAAAGUAAGCUAAAAAGUUCUACACUAAAACGACAGGUCGAGGUGUAACUCAUGAAAGGGCAAAGAUGGGCUACACUCUCUUAUCAGAGAACACGGACAACACUGUGAACAUAGUGAUCGAAGGAGGAUUUAGCAGUAAGAUAGGAACAAAAUACCCAACUGAACACAACGCAAUGAAGUGCGUACACACCGCCCGUCAUCCCUGCCCAC